This 253-nucleotide ribosomal RNA is filed under the name uncultured bacterium. RNAcentral describes it as "partial 16S ribosomal RNA". It matches the Rfam family "Bacterial small subunit ribosomal RNA", at positions 524 to 776 of the family's 1533-position model. The record is from RNAcentral.
UACAGAGGGUGCAAGCGUUAAUCGGAAUUACUGGGCGUAAAGCGCGCGUAGGUGGUUAGUUAAGUUGGAUGUGAAAUCCCCGGGCUCAACCUAAGAACUGCAUUCAAAACUGACUGACUAGAGUAUGGUAGAGGGUGGUGGAAUUUCCUGUGUAGCGGUGAAAAGCGUAGAUAUAGGAAGGAACACCAGUGGCGAAGGCGACCACCUGGACUGAUACUCACACUGAGGUGCGAAAGCGUGGGGAGUAAACAGG